RNAcentral lists this microRNA precursor (167 nucleotides) under Corchorus capsularis. RNAcentral describes it as "pre miRNA MIR530". The record is from RNAcentral. Lineage: Eukaryota; Viridiplantae; Streptophyta; Magnoliopsida; Malvales; Malvaceae.
AGAAGCUCAUUGUCGCCUCCACCCUCUUCUACUAUCUUUUCCACUUUUUUUAAUUCUUAAUCUCUCUCUCGAUUGUCUUUUUUUUUUAGUAACAAAUUGAGAGAGAGAUUAAGAUUAAAAAAAUGGAAAAAGAUAGUAGAAGAGGGAGGAGGCAACAAUGGGCUUCU